Molecule: long non-coding RNA, 1093 nt
Organism: Manis javanica (Malayan pangolin)
Lineage: Eukaryota; Metazoa; Chordata; Mammalia; Pholidota; Manidae
Source: RefSeq, a predicted model, not a curated record
GGACUGAGGUGCUCAGCCACCUCAGUCCCUGGGUCCUACCCUCCUACUACUUUUUUUCACCUCCAUUUUUUUCCUACCUCAAUUAAAAGGUAUUUGGCAAAAACACAGCAUCAUAGGGAAGCAUGUUAGUGGCCAGUCAUACCGCCCCAAGUCCUGCUGCCGGGGCAGUACAUGUGCCUGGGCUCUCCCCGGUACUUGUCCGGCACUCUGACCUCCAGCCUGGCCAGGCCCCGGGCUUGCAGGGAGGAGCUGAGCUGGUGGGAAUGAAAGCCGUGCCUGGCAAGCCUCCAGGCUCGGCUCCCUACCUCCCCAGCGGGGCAUUUGCUCAAACCCCUGGGGGAAGCGGACAGAGGCCUGUUAACCGCUGCAGGGUGCCCCACUGCUGGGGUGCGUUCCUCACUACGCUCACUUCCUGCCGCUCAGGGGUGCUCCUCCUCCUGUCUCUGCCCGCCGGGCCUCCCCCAGGAUGCAGCCUCCCUCUGUCCUUCUCCAGGCCCGGUGGAGCUGCUCUCUGUCAGCCUCACGGCCCCCCUCCCCGCCCCGUGGGCCGUGGCCUCAUCACACUGUCUUGGGUCCUCUGAACGCCGAUUGUGCCACCAGGCUGCCGACCGGGGUUUGCUGUUGUACUUGGAUCAGCAGAGUUCCUGGCACAAAGUGUCCCAACAAAUGUUCCUGGAAUGAAUGAGUGAGUGAUGGUGAGGCGGAGGCCUGGCUUCGGUGACCUCGGGAGGGCUGCCCUCAGCCGCUCCGCGGCCUUCAUGGUUUCCUCCGUGACUCUCCUUUCCCACCUCGUGUUUCCCCGUCAGCUCAGGGGAAAAUGGAAGUUCCUAUGGCCAGGAUCCUCAGCUGUCCCUAACUACCUGAUGAUGUCACUGUAGCCAAAAUGGCAGGAUGAGUUCCACUGGGAUUUUUGGGCAGUUUGUGGAUCAGAGUAUCAAGGCCACAGGAUGAUAAUGGAAGAAGUGGUACCUUGCUGAUUUUUCCAACAGAAGAAACCUACUUUACUACCCCAGUGGUAGGAAGGAAGAUUUUCUCCUGGCCCAGGAACAGCCCAGCCAAUGAGAAAUUGCCACCACUCAGCCAAUGAGAAGCC